GACAGAGGGUGCAAACGUUGUUCGGAAUUACUGGGCGUAAAGCGUGUGUAGGCGGUCCACUAAGUCGGGUGUGAAAGCCCUGGGCUCAACCCAGGAAGUGCACUCGAAACUGGCGGGCUAGAGUAUCGGAGAGGUUGGUGGAAUUCUCGGUGUAGAGGUGAAAUUCGUAGAUAUCGGGAGGAACACCAGAGGCGAAGGCGACGACCUGGAAGGUAACUGACACUGAGCAGCGAAAGCGUGGGUAGCAAACAGG
This 253-nucleotide ribosomal RNA is filed under the name uncultured bacterium. Its description in RNAcentral is "partial 16S ribosomal RNA". It matches the Rfam family "Bacterial small subunit ribosomal RNA", at positions 524 to 776 of the family's 1533-position model. The record is from RNAcentral.